AGAUUGAACGCUGGCGGCAGGCCUAACACAUGCAAGUCGAGCGGUAGAGAGGUGCUUGCACCUCUUGAGAGCGGCGGACGGGUGAGUAAAGCCUAGGAAUCUGCCUGGUAGUGGGGGAUAACGCUCGGAAACGGACGCUAAUACCGCAUACGUCCUACGGGAGAAAGCAGGGGACCUUCGGGCCUUGCGCUAUCAGAUGAGCCUAGGUCGAUUAGCUAGUUGGUGAGGUAAUGGCUCACCAAGGCGACGAUCCGUAACUGGUCUGAGAGGAUGAUCAGUCACACUGGAACUGAGACACGGUCCAGACUCCUACGGGAGCAGCAGUGGGGAAUAUUGGACAAUGGGCGAAAGCCUGAUCCAGCCAUGCCGCGUGUGUGAAGAAGGUCUUCGGAUUGUAAAGCACUUUAAGUUGGAGAAGGCAAUUAACCUAAUACGUUAGUGUUUGACGUUACGACAGAAUAAGCACCGGCUAACUCUGUGCCAGCAACG
Molecule: ribosomal RNA, 489 nt
Filed under: uncultured soil bacterium
Lineage: Bacteria
Description: bacterial SSU rRNA
Rfam family: Bacterial small subunit ribosomal RNA
Source: RNAcentral